CCUACGGGGUGCAGCAGUGCGGAAUAUUGGUCCAUGGGCGCGAGCCUGAACCAGCCAAGUAGCGUGAAGGAUGACUGCCCUACGGGUUGUACACUUCUUUUAUAAAGGAAUAAAGUGAGGCACGUGUGCCUGUUCGUAUGUACUCUAUGAACAAGGAUCUGCUAACUCCGUACCCGCAGCCGCGGUAAUACGGAGGAUACGAGCGUUAUCCGGAUUUAUUGGGUUUAAAGGGAGCGUAGACGGGUGGUUAAGUCAGUUGUGAAAGUUUGCGGCUCAACCGUAAAAUUGCAAUUGAUACUGGCAGUCUUGAGUACAGUAGAGGUAGGCGGAAUGCGUGGUGUAGCGGUGAAAUGCUUAGAUAUCACGAAGAACUCCGAUUGCGAAGGCAGCUUACUAAACUGCCACUGACAUUGAUGCUCGAAAGUGUGGGUAUCAAACAGGAUUAGAUACCCGAGUAGUC
This 460-nucleotide ribosomal RNA is filed under the name uncultured bacterium. Its description in RNAcentral is "partial 16S ribosomal RNA". It matches the Rfam family "Bacterial small subunit ribosomal RNA", at positions 338 to 795 of the family's 1533-position model. The record is from RNAcentral.